UAGGAUUUUUUUCCUUUCUCACACAUCCUCUGUGUUUCUCUUGUGAUACUCAUCUUCUAUACUGCUCCCAGCGUCUCUCAAAAGCUGUGUUAAAGGUAUACCCGGAGAUCACUAUAAAUCCUUAGUGGACUUCCUGAGACACAAGUAAACGCAGAUGCUCCAAGCAAAAGAGAUUUCUUCUGGAAGCUUGUGCCUCAGGAGAUGCAGUGCUUACUUGGCACAGUCAUGGCUGUCGUCAUGAAACGAUCUGAGAGAGACAACGAGGGGAGUGAAUGUUAGCCACCAUUAAUAGCCUUCCAGGCCUGUUCUAGACACACCCGGCACACUGUCGAAAAUAGAAAUCUGGUCAAAUGUUAAAAUAGGACAAAGCCAAGUUUCCAGGGCAAGGGUUCAAAAGUAGCUUUUGUAUCAUUCACAGUGAAAAAUAAGAUUACUGAAAAUGUGGGAACUCUGAUCUAUUUUAUGUGUUUGGUUGUUUUCCCAUUUCAUCGCAGUUUUGGUUUCUAAAAUAAAUGUUUUGGUGUGAAUUCA
This is a long non-coding RNA of Apodemus sylvaticus (European woodmouse), 531 nucleotides long. RefSeq lists it as uncharacterized. The transcript is spliced from 2 exons. The record is from RefSeq and is a predicted model, not a curated record. NCBI's taxonomy places the organism in Eukaryota, Metazoa, Chordata, Mammalia, Rodentia, Muridae.